This 265-nucleotide ribosomal RNA is filed under the name uncultured Corynebacterium sp. RNAcentral describes it as "partial 16S ribosomal RNA". It matches the Rfam family "Bacterial small subunit ribosomal RNA", at positions 88 to 354 of the family's 1533-position model. Lineage: Bacteria; Bacillati; Actinomycetota; Actinomycetes; Mycobacteriales; Corynebacteriaceae. The record is from RNAcentral.
UACUCGAGUGGCGAACGGGUGAGUAACACGUGGGUGAUCUGCCCUGCACUUCGGGAUAAGCCUGGGAAACUGGGUCUAAUACCGGAUAGGAGCCAUUUUUAGUGUGAUGGUUGGAAAGUUUUUUCGGUGUAGGAUGAGCUCGCGGCCUAUCAGCUUGUUGGUGGGGUAAUGGCCUACCAAGGCGGCGACGGGUAGCCGGCCUGAGAGGGUGGACGGCCACAUUGGGACUGAGAUACGGCCCAGACUCCUACGGGAGGCAGCAGAC